Molecule: ribosomal RNA, 429 nt
Filed under: Chloroflexota bacterium
Lineage: Bacteria; Bacillati; Chloroflexota
Description: Chloroflexi bacterium partial 16S ribosomal RNA
Rfam family: Bacterial small subunit ribosomal RNA
Source: RNAcentral
UGGGGAAUAUUGCACAAUGGGCGCAAGCCUGAUGCAGCCAUGCCGCGUGUAUGAAGAAGGCCUUCGGGUUGUAAAGUACUUUCAGUCGGGAGGAAGGUGGUAAGGUUAAUAACCUUAUCAAUUGACGUUACCGACAGAAGAAGCACCGGCUAACUCCGUGCCAGCAGCCGCGGUAAUACGGAGGGUGCAAGCGUUAAUCGGAAUUACUGGGCGUAAAGCGCACGCAGGCGGUCUGUCAAGUCGGAUGUGAAAUCCCCGGGCUCAACCUGGGAACUGCAUUCGAAACUGGCAGGCUAGAGUCUUGUAGAGGGGGGUAGAAUUCCAGGUGUAGCGGUGAAAUGCGUAGAGAUCUGGGGGAAUACCGGUGGCGAAGGCGGCCCCCUGGACAACGACUGACGCUCAGGUGCGAAGGAGUGGGGAGCAAACAGG